Molecule: ribosomal RNA, 640 nt
Filed under: uncultured Rhodoferax sp.
Lineage: Bacteria; Pseudomonadati; Pseudomonadota; Betaproteobacteria; Burkholderiales; Comamonadaceae
Description: bacterial SSU rRNA
Rfam family: Bacterial small subunit ribosomal RNA
Source: RNAcentral
ACGCUGGCGGCAUUGCUUACACAUGCAUGUCGAACGGCAGCACGGGAGCAUCCUGGUGGCGAGUGGCGAACGGGUGAGUAAUAUAUCGGAACGUGCCCAGUCGUGGGGGAUAACGCAGCGAAAGCUGUGCUAAUACCGCAUACGAUCUACGGAUGAAAGCGGGAGAUCGCAAGACCUCGCGCGAUUGGAGCGGCCGAUAUCCGAUUAGCUAGUUGGUGGGGUAAAGGCCCACCAAGGCGACGAUCUGUAGCUGGUCUGAGAGGACGACCAGCCACACUGGAACUGAGACACGGUCCAGACUCCUACGGGAGGCAGCAGUGGGGAAUUUUGGACAAUGGGCGCAAGCCUGAUCCAGCAAUGCCGCGUGCAGGAUGAAGGCCUUCGGGUUGUAAACUGCUUUUGUACGGAACGAAACGGUGAGCUCUAAUAAAGUUUGCUAAUGACGGUACCGUAAGAAUAAGCACCGGCUAACUACGUGCCAGCAGCCGCGGUAAUACGUAGGGUGCGAGCGUUAAUCGGAAUUACUGGGCGUAAAGCGUGCGCAGGCGGUUAUGUAAGACAGAUGUGAAAUCCCCGGGCUCAACCUGGGAACUGCAUUUGUGACUGCACAGCUAGAGUACGGCAGAGGGGGAUGGAAUUC